GACGAACGCUGGCGGCGUGCUUAACACAUGCAAGUCGAACGGGCCCGCUCUCUUUUUUGGGGGUGGGUUGAGUGGCGAACGGGUGAGUAUCACGUGAGUAACCUGCCCCCUGCUCCUGGAUAACUGCUUGAAAGGGCGGCUAAUACGGGGUGUGCCGGCUGGUCCGCAUGGGCCUGGUCGGGAUAGUUUCAUCUUCGGGUGUUUCGGUGGGGGAUGGGCUCGCGGCCUAUCAGCUUGUUGGUGGGGUGAUGGCCCACCAAGGCGGUGACGGGUAGCCGGCCUGAGAGGGUGGGCGGCCACACUGGGACUGAGACACGGCCCAGAAUCCUGCGGGAGGCAGCAGUGGGGGGUAUUGCACAAUGGGCGGAAGCCUGAUGCAGCGACGUCGCGUGAGGGAUGGAGGCCUUCGGGUUGUGAACCUCUUUCUCCGGUGGUGAAGGCCCUGUCCGUUGCGGCGGGGUUGACGGUAGCCGGGUAUGAAGCGCCGGCUAACUACGUG
RNAcentral lists this ribosomal RNA (499 nucleotides) under uncultured bacterium. RNAcentral's name for it is "partial 16S ribosomal RNA". It matches the Rfam family "Bacterial small subunit ribosomal RNA", at positions 28 to 507 of the family's 1533-position model. The record is from RNAcentral.